Molecule: ribosomal RNA, 462 nt
Filed under: uncultured bacterium
Lineage: Bacteria
Description: partial 16S ribosomal RNA
Rfam family: Bacterial small subunit ribosomal RNA
Source: RNAcentral
UACGCACGCUGGCGGCGUGCUUAACACAUGCAAGUCGAACGGAAAGGCCUUUUCGGAGGUACUCGAGUGGCGAACGGGUGAGUAACACGUGGGUGAUCUGCCCUGCACUCUGGGAUAAGCCUGGGAAACUGGGUCUAAUACCGGAUAGGACCGCACUUUAGUGUGUGUGGUGGAAAGUUUUUUCGGUGUAGGAUGAGCCCGCGGCCUAUCAGCUUGUUGGUGGGGUAAUGGCCUACCAAGGCGGCGACGGGUAGCCGGACUGAGAGGUUGGUCGGCCACAUUGGGAUUGGAAAGCGGCCAGGCCUCCUCGGGGGGGGAGCAGUGGGGAAUGUUGAAUAAUGGGCGGAAGCCGGAUGCAGUGACGCCGCGGGGGGUGUGGCGGCCUUCGGUUUGUAAACUCUUUUCGCCAGGGAAGAAGUGUUUUGGGGAGGUGCCGGGAGAAGAAGCCCCGGCGAAUUGCGG